AGAAAGUAGAAGGAGCUCCAAAGGCAGUGAGCGUCUUUCCUUGGGCUGCGUGUGCCGAGCGUAGACAAUGAAAAUCUUCAUCCCCCUCCCCCAUUCUACUAGGCUACAAGAUUCUUGUUUUCGUUCCUUCUCACCGGUGGAAGAUGUGUAAAAUCAAAGAUGUAGAGGUGUGUAGUGAUUUUUUUAAAAGCCAACUAACCACCGCACGGACUGCGACGCGGAUUACCCGAGCGCACGCCGGCUGGGCGCAUUCUGGGGUCUCUGCGCAAGACCAGCUCUCAGCUCUCUCUCCUUUCCUCGGACUCUGGAGCGGGAGCGGGCCUUUCCCUCGGGUCGACCACGCCGUAGGGGACGCCGUGAAAAGAGCCGUCGCGCCCGCUGCCUCCUGCCCGCUGCGCAGAGGGCUCCGCCCGUAGAGGUCAACUUCCCUCACCCUUUUCUCUCUCCUGCUUGCCCUCCCUCCGCCCGGCCCAGGCGCUUCCAGCCCCAGACUGUGGCCACUGGCUGAGGAGUGCGAGUCGGCUGCGCUGCCCUGAGCCUAAUCCCUCUUCCGGGCCCAGACCCGAGGUCCGCGCUCCUGGGCAGUGGGGAAGCUUUAGUGAGCAGGCUUUUCUCUCCGCAGCAAACUUGUAGCCAGACCAGAUGGGCCGCCCAGCUCUCUCGGGACUAGGCAGGUGCGGAUGAGUUAAUUUUUCCGCAUUACAAAGAAAGAUGACCCAGCCCGCCCUUGGACUCUCUUUUCCCAAAAUCUCCCAACCAAACCCGCGGUAACGUUAUCAAAGGACACAGAGCCCAGGCAUAUCUGUGUGUUUAUCUUACAGGCACACACGCAUGGUUUUCUCUUUUAUAUGCUAGAUUUCAUCCCUGACAGCAGAAAAUGAUUGGCAAUGGUUAUGACGGAGAACAUGCAAUAGCGUGGUCCUUAAAAACCUGCCAUUCCUUACAAGUGCCUUAGAAAGGAUUCAGGGCGAACCAACUGGGUUAAUUGCAUUCAGUAAAAUAACACGAUUACAAAAUUAGAUCUGUACCAGAGGGGUAAUUAACUUGGAUCCACGCCGUCAUUUGAAAACUAGAUUUAUAGGCUUAUGUAUGUUUUUAGGCGUGUGCUGUAAAUGGCAUGGAGAUAUAUGCAUAUGUAUACGCAGGCACACGCACCGUCUACACUUCCACGGAACAGACUAAUUAACAGCGGCUCUGGCAGAUGUGUCAGAGAUGAGCAGAGACAGGAGCUGGGCUUAUGAGUUAUGACUCUAGGGGUAGAGACUCAGAGCGGAGAGAGGGGGAUGGGCAGGGAGAGAAGAGUGGUAAUCGCAGUGGGUCUUAUACUUUCCGGAUCAAGAUUAGAGGCUCUGCUCUCCGUGUUCACAGCGGACCUUGAUUUAAUGUCAUACAAUUAAGGCACGCGGUGAAUGCCAAGAGCGGAGCCUACGGCUGCACUUGAAGGACACCAAAGCAUCUCAGGGUCAGAAAGGGGAAAAAGCAAUUGCAGGGAAUUUAGGGGGUAGUAAAAGGAACCCAUCUCUUGCCGCAUAAAUGCCCCCCACCCCCACCCAGGACUGAUUCUGGAAGCAACCUAGUGUUCGAAAGGGAAAGGCUCCUACUUUUCCAUUACAGCCGCGGAAAUCCGCAGGCAAAUCUCCGAGGAGAAUUUUAGGGAAGCUUCAUUGACAGCUGUCUGGAGAGCAGUAGUUCCCGCCUGUGCAAAUAUUCCAGAGAGUUAAAUCAUUUAGAAAGCACUAGUUCUUUCAAGAACAGGUAGUGUGAUUGUCUGCAGUCCUGGGCCAAGCUGGGAAAACAAAACAGCAGAGAGAGGUGUAACAUUAAAUAGCGUCCUGACCACACUGCGCAAGAAACAGCAAAUGAAACGUCCAAACUUUGGAAAGAUCUGAAGAACACUUGCCGCCCGCAUUUCCCCUUGACUUCUCCCUUUUUCUUCCCAAUCUCGAGGCGUUCAUGCCUGGCUUUAAGACGCCAAGAUAACUCUCUUGUUUUGGCAUUGUCGCAAUGUCCAAAUCGGUCAAAGGAGUGGGAUAAGGUGAAAGGACCAGGUCAGAAACUUUAGAAGGACUCGGUAAAUUAAUUUGUUUGGAAGCCAGUGAGGUGGACUAUGUUGAGGUAGCAGUUCCGCACCACGACUUUGGAGCCAAAGAAAAACCCAGGCCGAAAAAGCGAGCCUUGAUGUCUUUGUUCUGCCUUGGCCUGCAGGGGUUGGGAACAAAGGAGAGGAGCUAAGAGGAUGCACCAAAGUAGCCGCGCCCUCCCUGCCUGGCGCUGUCCGCGGUGCUGACCGUGGCCCUUUUCUCUCUCCGUAAUCAAACUGGAAAAGCAAUAGGACCGUCCCGUCCCUACUCAAAAGAAGAGUAGGAUAUUAGGUAAUUUGAAAAAUAACAUUUAAAAAGAGAAAAAGGUCACAUACAGCAAAACAAUAUUUUACUGAAAUCGUUCCCUCAAGCUGGUUGCUACCCUUGCCUGACACUUUUUGGUCUUCACGUAGGAAUGCACACAUACAUACAUUGUAAGUGUAUGGGGAAACCAUUUCCACUUUAUUUAGGCUGAAACCUAAAUCGCAGGAUUGCAAGAAGGAAAUUGAGGAGAAUGAAGGCUUUAUUAUUAUCCUUUUCUUUCUUAAAUCAUCUUCCUUAAAACAGAAACAUAAGGUCCUCAGCCGCGGAUUUUAGUGCUUACUUGGUCACCAAAGGGACGUGCAAUGGACUCAAGUGUGGGCCUCGAGGCUUAACUAGGAAGGGGUGGGUCGGGGACCCACCAGGUGAAACAGGGCAGGAGCCCAUGCAGCUUGCCACCUUCGGCCAGGCCUUGCAGCCCGGCAGCCUUAGUAGACGGGUACAGAGGGCUGAGCUCUGCAGACCGCUCUGCUGCGCAGGAGCCUGCUCGGCGCAUCCCAGCCGGCGGGAGGCACUGGAGGGCCAGGAGGCCUGAAACCCGCACUGCGGAAAAACCGACCUCAGCCACAUCCUCAUAGCUCACGCGACGGAAAGAGGCAGGGCGGUUUACUAAAUCUUAUGCAGUGAAAAUUCGCCUUAGAAAUCGAAGGUUGGAUGAGUCAGUAUUGAUAUAUUCAAAAAUCUAAAUUUCUUAGCAUAUUUCAUCGUUCUUAGAUGUUGAAAGUAUUAAAUGUAAACAAUACAAAUUUAAAUUCCCUAAGUAAUGAAUCAAAAUGGCAAGGGAGAGAGAGAGAGAGAGAGACGGAAAAUCAACCAAUUCGUAGCCACCCUGGCUGGCUAUUUCUCAAAAGAAAUUUCUAUGCAUUUGCUUGAGUUUGUCUAUAAAUUCACAAACAUAAAGGGUGUUAAAAUUAGUAACAGACAAAAUAAUUCAGGUUGGACAAUAGAGACAGCAACACCGAUUUUGAUCCAGGUAUAACAAUGGGCCAUGCAUUGACAAUGACCUAAAAGACAUGUGUUCAUUAAGUUAUUUUUUUUACACGGGAUGUAGAUGUAUCAUAAAAUUCAUGAAAUAAAGCGGCCAGGUGCAAUAUCCUCAGAGAGCUGCCUUCUCACCCCCUGCCUCAGGGCGGAUUUUAUCUGUCCUCGAAUUUUAGAACUCUGCAAGUCGGGUCUUUCACAUUCAUCGAUUACUUUGGUUUAUAUUUAAUUUUAUCCAAUUUCGGAGUGGGUGGGUAAAGCACACUGGAAAAUAGGGGCUGCUCGAAUUACAAAAUUUAAGGAUUGGGAAUAUUCCUCUUGUGCCAAUUAAAAGCAGUCGUUGGAAGCAGAAAUGAAUUUAAAGCAUUACACGUUAUCAUGGCGGCCUUGCUUUUUCCUUCCAGUAUUCAUCCAAUUGCGCUGAUCUCCUGCAUCCACAUCUUGCGUAAUCCACAAAGCAGCUAUGGUCCAGGGCUGCAAAAUCGUCCUGCCUGAUUCCUUUAGAAUUCAUACUACCUCAGAGGAGCAAACCUAAUCCCCUCAGCCUAAUCCUACCUGUUUAGGAUCAUCUAAACUUGUCCUUCAGAAAGCUUGAUCAGUUUAAAAUUGCUUUCUAAAUAGAAAUGAAAUACGUGAUAUGAGAGAGGUUAAAAUACUGCUUAAAAAGGGAAACACUCAAUUUAGUAAUUCGGUUGCCUAGAUGAAAUCGAGUGGCUAUUGAUCCGUGAUGUUUCUAGAUUUUUAAGACUAUGUACUUCCUAUUUCUUUGGAAAAUAAUCAUCCAGUUUGAUGCCCAUUACAAAUUUUCCUGCUAUGAAAGAAAUUCUAUGCGCGGCAGUUUUGCAAUAAAACAACCCGGGCUUCGCAAUGGGAGAACUUCGGUGCGGCGUGCCGUGAGAGUCCUUUGACAAUCUCAGCUUUCAUCUAGGUCUGAAAUUAAAGCUUCUCGGAAUAAUUUAGGAACAGCUUGACCCGUUGAGAUACUCAAGGACAACCCUCCAGGGAAAUAGUAUGUUUCCUUCCUGGGAACAAGAUGCUAGCGCGGUGCACCGGGAGGUAUCUGGUGUCAACAAUGCCAGAGCGCCCUCUGCUGCCUCAAAGAGGCAGGACACCAGUUACAAAAGCCAGAUGGCACAGUGGCAAUAAGCGGAGGAAACAUUAAGCUCUUAGAAACGUUUAAUCUGUGAAAUUUAAAAGCUCUCAUCAUAUUCUACUUUUGAAAGGGCCACCUGAUUUUGAUUUUGAGCACUCCUUGGAUGUUAUCUUCUAUUCUGGAGGAUAAUGAAAAGUCCGUGUUUUGAAGUUUUCAGAUUAUUUCUGUAGUUAUAUUUCUCCACUCUUUCUCGAAUUUUAUAUGGAAAUACGAAAUUGCAAAUCUAAGUGAAAAACCUUUGUGUAAAACAGGUGAGUGGAGAAGACGUCCUGGUUUCUCCAAAUAACUAAGAUCUAAUAAAGAAACAAAUCUUAAUUAAAAUAAAGAUACCGAGCACAUGUUGUUGUGUUAGUUUAAAACGAUAAUAAAAAGAAAGAAAUUAAGUCUCGAUGUAAAUCAUUGUUUUGUUGUUUUGUUUCAGUGAUUAACCCAAAUUUUGACCAGACUUGAAGUUUUGAAAUAAGAAAGUGAAUUAUUUUAAAGAAGAAGAAAAAUUUGCUUCUUAUUAAUAUGUACAAUAUUUUUGCCCUUAAAACCUUUGCAAUACAUUUAUACACACACACUCAGCUUGCAAAGCCUUCUUUAGAAAAUAACCCACUCUGAGUAGAAGUAAUGAGAUAUGGUAGCAGCAUGGGCAAAGCCAUAAGAAACGUUAUUUGCAUUAAAAAUGAGUUUUUCAGUAUGGAAAAUCAAUUACCAAAUGAAAUAGAGAUUUUUUUUAAAGGUUCAAACCUUUUCAAAUUUUUAUGUUAUAGGGUUUAUAUUGAUUAAAAUAAAUGUACGUUUGUAGUUAUUCAACAUUAUGAAUUUCAAGAUGGCCACCUAUUUUGAAACGCACACCUUUGCCAUGAAGUCUGUUGUUGCAUAUAUUAGUGCUGAUGUAAUAAAAUGCUUCUAUUAACUAUGUGGUUGUUAAUAAAUCUUGUAAAAAUAAAGUUCUGUUUAUUUUAUGGUGUCAGAACAAAAUAGCUGUUUAAAAUCACUUAUUUUAGUCUUAGCUUUUAAAUCAAAAUGCCUAUAAGAAUAUUAAGUUCUAAGAUUGUUGAGAAUACUAAGAUAAAAUUAAAAAUUGUAUGAUUUUACAAUUUGCUAUAAUUUAAAAAUCUUGUAUUGAUUAAAUGUUAAAUCAGGUUAAAUAUUUGACCAAUUGUGUCAAGUUCCGUAUAAAUAUGGGUACAUUUGUCUUCUGAAAGCUAUUUCUCCAAAGAAUGCACUUACGAAUGUAUGGCAUAAUAAGUGAAAAAAUGGUAGAACUUUUAUGUUUUUAUUUUAAGUAUCCUUUUAAAAAUUAAAAAUAUUUUUUUUCUUUUACUUAAUUUAAAUUUCUUCCUAAAUAAGUGCAUAUUUUACCCAGGAGAAAAUAAACAGAGUGACAUAAAUUUGCUAUACUUCUUAUAGUUACUAUAAUCAGUUAAAAAACAACUUCUAGGCAAAUAAAAUAUAUAAUAAAAUGUAAAUUAAAAUGUAAAUAAAAUGCAACAAAUUCGUGGGUGGAAGACAUGAACAUGACUUUUUUCUAUUUUAAAAACCAUUUGAUGUAUUCUAAAAAAAGAAAAAGAAAAGAAAAACAGAAGAGAACCAACUAAAAGAGCUUCCCAGAUGUCCAAUAGAUGCUGCCCGAAGUAAAACGCAUACUCUAAUAUUUGUUAUUCAAAUUUGCAUGUAAGGGUUUUUAACCUCCCUUUAUUUUAUACUUGUACAGGGUAACGUAUUGUAACUGAAACACUCCUCCUAAUUUAUUCUGGCUGUGAAAAGCCUAUGGAAACAUUCACUUCCAUAGGAGUAAUAUGUAUCUAAACAGUAUAUUUAGGGAAAGCACUAAUAGAACACAAACAACUAAUUACUGAUGCUUUUAAGGAGGAACCGCAACAAUAAUUGUGCACUGUCUUAGAUAAAAUUAAUAUAGAAUUUAAUAUUUGUAGACCACAAAAAAGCCCUAAUCGUGGACCGCAGAUUAGAAAGAACAGGCUUUAGCACACUGUGUAUCUUUGUAGUAUUCAGACUCAGCUGCCACUGCGAUUUCCAUCAGCUGCUGUUAAGUAAAUAAUAUACUAUGGAAAUAUGACUGAGUAGGAAUUGAAAAUAAAAUGCUUUAAGAAGGAAUAAAAUUGGGAUGUCAAGAAAUCAAAGUUGAUUGUCUUUAAGAUAGAAGGUUAGUAGUUACAAACUGCAGCGAAAAUAUAUACAUUGAUGAGCAAAUCUCCACGAAGUAAAAAGUUCAGAUGUUGGAUACUACCAAGGCAAAAUAGAGUGAAAUAGGAAGAAAUUAAGUCUUUGAGACACAUGUAGAAAGAACAAAGAAGCCUCUUGACUUCAAUUUUGUUUUUAAAAUUCCAGUAGAAGAUGUUUAUGCAGAGAAACCUUAAGGAAUUCUUCAUUGUCAUGUCACAAUUUUGAUCUUGUUGAAUUAAGAAAGACAGGGAAAAGUUGAAAAACAAAUAAGCAAAAUGUGAAUUUACUAUUGAACUCUUAUGGGUUUGUAAUGCAGAAUUGUGUUUUUCCUUUCCUACUUGUUGGUCAGGUUCUUUUUAAUCAUAAGAAGGAAAAUAUUUAAAAUAUAAUUUUAUACAUGGUACAAUUGUCUCCCCUUAGCCUUGGCUCGCUUUCUGUGGUUUUAGUUACCCGCGGUCAACUGUGGUCUGAAAAUAUUAAAUGGAAAAUUCCAGAAAUAGACUAUUCAUAAGUUUUAAAGUUUGUGCUGCUUUGAGCAGCAUAAUAAAAUCUUGCACCACCCCACUUCAUCCCACCCAGGAUGUGAAUCAUCCUUUGUCCAGCAUCUCCAUGCUAUAUGUAGCUACCCCUUAGUCACUUAGUAACCAUCUUGAUGAUCACAUCUACUGUUGCAGUAAUAUCACACAGCAUCACUUAUGUUCAAGCAACACUUGUUUUGCUUAAAAUGACUGCAGAGUUCAAAAGUAGUGAUGUUGGGAAUUCAGAUAUGCCAAAGACAAGCCAUAGGUACAUCCUUUAAGAGAAAAGGCGAAAGUUCUCAAAUUAAUAAGGAAAGAAAAAAUAUUGCAUACUGAGGUUGCUAAGAUCUAGUGUAAGAAUGGAUCAUCUAUUAAUGAAUUUGAAAAGAAUGAAAGGUAAAUUUAGGCUAGUUUUGUUGUCACACUUCAAACUGUAAAAGUUACAGCCACGGUGCAUAAGUGCUACUUAAAAUGCAAAAGGCACUAAAUUUGCUGUUGGAAGACAUGAACAGAAACGUGUUCCGAUUGACGACAAUCAGAUUCAGUGUUAUCUGCAGUUUCAGGCAUCCACUAGGGCUCAUGGAAUGCAUCCUCUGCAGAGAAGUGGGGACUACUGUCUUAAUAAUAGAAUGAAUAUAACAUAGCUUAUGCUGGGCAAAAUAUCUUUCUUCUGUUAAUUUGUUUGAACAAAAAACAGUGACAAAUGAAACAGAAACUUGGUUUAGGAGAGUGUUUCUUACUGAUUUGAAUGUUCUAAGUAGUAGUGACAAUGUACUUACAUUGGCAGGAUUCUUAACUUGAACUCAGUCACAAUGCUUCUCAGGAAUUCCCUAUACUCGUGUUAACUGUGAAGAGUGGGAGUUCCAGGCCAAAACGAUAAGGACUAUGUACCUCAGGCAAGGUCAAUUUAAAGGUUACAAAGUUUGGGUUGCUAUGAAAACAUUAAAUAGAGAAAGGUGUUCCCUUGCCGAGAGCUAUGUAGUGCCAGUUUUCCAAAUCAGAGGAACUUCUCUCUUCCCUGGACAUCCUUGACCUGACUCUACUCUCUCGAUUCCCAGAAUUCGGGUAUAGUAGUUAUGUUGUUUUCAUUGUCCUGAUGAUAUCAGAUAAGUAGAUUGGUUACAAGAACUCCAAGGAUGCAUUCUUCAAUAUGUGAUUUUACAACCUGGUAUAUUUAAAGAAAGGGGCUUUGAUUCAAUGACAGGGUUAUUUUUACCUAGCUUUUCAACUCAGAAAGCACAGAUACUUAUAAAUGCCCACUAAGCAUCAGGAAGUUGUGUUAGUUGGAUGAGAGAAUGAGGGGUGUGGUGUAUGUGUAUAUAAAUACAUGUAUAUGGAAAGGAAUAUCUAUAUUAGACAUCACAGUUAACAUUUAAAACAUGGUUGUGAAAAAAAAUAAAACCAACAGUAGCUAUGGCUUGGACUUACCUCUUUUGCAGUUAUCUUCCUAUUAUUAGAUAAUCUACUUGGUAAAAUUGCAUGGUACAAGAGGAUUAUUAAUAAAUAAUCAUUAAAAAUGGCUAGUUCAUUCAGACUAUUCUCCAUACUCCUGCUGUUGUUAUUGCAAUAACUUUCCAAAUUUUCUAAAUCCAUGAAUACCCUUUCAAUGAAUAUAAUUUUUCUACAUUAUCUUCCUACCUCUCUCUCUCUCUGCUUUUAUCUUAAUUGAUAAUGAAACCCAGUAAGGUAAGUGAUUAUUUAGACCAAUAACAUUGAACAAAUCAAUCAUUCCUAAAUGUAGGACCCAAACUUAUAUCACAGAAUUGUGUGUGUGUGUGUGUGUGUGUGUGUGUGUGUAUGGACUUGAAUUGAUUUUUAUUUUAACCUCCACUUCUUUUCGUAGUAAACAACUUCUCUCAGAUUUCCAAAGAUAAAAACAUAGAUUCAUUCAUUCAUUUAUUCACUGUUUGAGUGCUUAGUAGGUGCCAGGCUCUGUUCUUUGUGUUAAAUAUUCAAAGGUGAAUGAAAUUCAUGCGAUUUCUAUUCUUAUGGAGCUUAUGCUUUCUCAGUGUUAAAUUUUCUAUUCUCCUGAACUUACUUUCUAUAAUUCAUGUCUUUUUAUCUUUAAGUGCUUCCAUGUCACUAAUGAGAGUUUUCCUCAUGAGAAGAACAGAUUUGUAUUUUGCUAUUCUGGGAUAAACAAGACCAAUAUAUUUACAUUUUUCUUACAGAUGCACAUCCUUAUCUAUUUGGAAACAAUGAAUGCUUUUUGCUAUUCUCUUUCAAAUUUAAAGAUCAAUUGAGUAAAAUAUUAAUAUAUGCUGAUGUAAUGUUGACUGUAAAGUAUUAGCUCCUGUCUCAAUUGUGGUUUAUUAGUCAUGCUUGAAUUUUGUGUUUAUUGAUUAUAAAUAUUUACUUUUAUUUUGUCAUAGAUUUUGAUUUCAAAUGUAAUUUUUGCAACAUAAAUGCCCAUUCAAACUCUGUAAUUUGGUCCUUAUCCUUAAUUUAUACAUUCUAAUAAGCCGUAGCUUUGUCCCUGUGAUUUUUUUUCUGUUUGUUUACUUUCUUUUAUUUUAAUGAGUGAUUUUUUCCAAUUAUCAAGAUUCUUUUCAACUUACCAUCAUAUUUUUCUAUAGGACCUGAAAUUUUCUUUUCAAUUUACCAUUGUAUUUCUCUAUAGGACCUGAAAUUUAACUAACUUAGAUCAAUGAAAUCAUCAACUGGUUUUAUUGGAUUGAUUAGUUGUACACAACAAAUCUAAUUUAGUUAUUAAACUGGUCCUAAUAACUAGACUCACUUCUUCAUAACCUCAUUAUUUCAAAUGUUUAAAAUAAGCAUCAAAUCAACUGAACACUCAAAAGCCUAUCCCAAAAUAUGCCCACAGAUAUAAUUUCAAGUACUUUUUAAAUUCAUUUCAUUAGCUGUGAAGGUUUUAGAGAUUUCUGUCUUUACCAAAAACACAGUUUUAAAUAUCGCCCUCAUUUAUUGCUCAUGACUGUUGGUCACCAUCUUAGCCAAGUCUUUGAAAGUGGCUAGAUGUCUCUGUCAGGCUUUUUUAGGCAAUGGCAAGUGUCGUGUAUAACAAAGAAGUUAAAUAUCUUUCCUGUAAGUUUUGAUUACUUUACUUAUCAAAAGCUCUGAGGAUGAGGACUUCUCUAGCUUUGCAAUGUAAUUGGUGUAAUAUACAAAUAAUGUACUAACAUUAGAGGCUGGAGAUGUAUAGACUGAACUUUGACUGAGUAAUUUGGAUUACUUUAUUCCUUUCACUAGAUUUUAGUUCUAUGUGAGAUCAAUUAGUGAUUCUCCAUAAUGUGCAUUAAGCAUCACCUG
This 10496-nucleotide long non-coding RNA is filed under the name Homo sapiens (human). RNAcentral describes it as "non-protein coding MIR124-2HG:18". The stretch from base 1351 to 1421 matches the Rfam family "mir-124 microRNA precursor family". The record is from RNAcentral. Lineage: Eukaryota; Metazoa; Chordata; Mammalia; Primates; Hominidae.